AAACCAAAAAACCCAAAAAAAAAAACCCAAAAACCCGAAUUUUUGUUGGGGUUGCUACCAAAAAAAAACAAAAAAAAAAAACCCCAAUCUUCGAGUUGUAAUCUUUGGAGGACGCAUCCGACACCACAGCCCAUGAAGAUCAUAAGUUCCCUUGGAAAAGGGCAUCAUAGAGGGUGAAAAUCCCGUGAUAUGGUCUUUCCUCCGGUGCUGUUUUCAGGUGGAACGGUGUUGCCGUCACUCCGUGAGUCGGGUUGUUUGAGAAUGCAGCCCUAAUACGGGUGGUAAAUUCCAUCCAAGGCUAAAUAUUCAUGCGAAAGAUCGAUAGCGAACAAGUACCGCGAGGGAAGGUUGCAAAGAACUUUGAAAAGAGAGUUCAAGAGAACUUGAAGUUGUUGAGGGGGAAGCGAAGGCGACUUGAAACCCCUUGGAUUUCAUACAUGACUUUCAAAAACGGGGUCGUCGUUUGUCUUGCAGUGGGCACAACCAUCUUUUUAUUACUCUUCUCUCGAGAAGGGUCAUAAAAAGGUGUCAUUUUGCAAACUGUGUUACAAGCGCGUCAGCAUCAAUUCAAACAAACUUUCGCAGGAAAAAUACUAAUGAGGUUAGAAGGGGAAAGUAGAGGUUUCAGACCUU
RNAcentral lists this ribosomal RNA (633 nucleotides) under uncultured fungus. Its description in RNAcentral is "partial 28S ribosomal RNA". It matches the Rfam family "Eukaryotic large subunit ribosomal RNA", at positions 1 to 610 of the family's 3401-position model. The record is from RNAcentral. Lineage: Eukaryota; Fungi.